CCAGACUCCUACGGGAGGCAGCAGUGGGGAAUAUUGGGCAAUGGGCGCAAGCCUGACCCAGCAACGCCGCGUGAAGGAAGAAGGUUUUCGGGUUGUAAACUUCUUUUAAGAGGGACGAAACAAAUGACGGUACCUCUUGAAUAAGCCACGGCUAACUACGUGCCAGCAGCCGCGGUAAUACGGAGGUGGCAAGCGUUAUCCGGAUUUAUUGGGUGUAAAGGGCGUGUAGGCGGGAAAGCAAGUCAGAUGUGAAAACUAUGGGCUCAACCCAUAGCCUGCAUUUGAAACUGUUUUUCUUGAGUGCUGGAGAGGCAAUCGGAAUUCCGUGUGUAGCGGUGAAAUGCGUAGAUAUACGGAGGAACACCAGUGGCGAAGGCGGAUUGCUGGACAGUAACUGACGCUGAGGCGCGAAAGCGUGGGGAGCAAACAGGAUUAGAUACCCUUGUAGA
This 449-nucleotide ribosomal RNA is filed under the name uncultured bacterium. RNAcentral's name for it is "partial 16S ribosomal RNA". It matches the Rfam family "Bacterial small subunit ribosomal RNA", at positions 331 to 794 of the family's 1533-position model. The record is from RNAcentral.